UAGGGAGUCUUCGGCAAUGGACGAAAGUCUGACCGAGCAACGCCGCGUGAGUGAAGAAGGUUUUCGGAUCGUAAAACUCUGUUGUUAGAGAAGAACAAGGACGUUAGUAACUGAACGUCCCCUGACGGUAUCUAACCAGAAAGCCACGGCUAACUACGUGCCAGCAGCCGCGGUAAUACGUAGGUGGCAAGCGUUGUCCGGAUUUAUUGGGCGUAAAGCGAGCGCAGGCGGUUUCUUAAGUCUGAUGUGAAAGCCCCCGGCUCAACCGGGGAGGGUCAUUGGAAACUGGGAGACUUGAGUGCAGAAGAGGAGAGUGGAAUUCCAUGUGUAGCGGUGAAAUGCGUAGAUAUAUGGAGGAACACCAGUGGCGAAGGCGGCUCUCUGGUCUGUAACUGACGCUGAAGCUCGAAAGCGUGGGGAGCAAACAGG
RNAcentral lists this ribosomal RNA (429 nucleotides) under Gemmatimonadota bacterium. RNAcentral describes it as "Gemmatimonadetes bacterium partial 16S ribosomal RNA". It matches the Rfam family "Bacterial small subunit ribosomal RNA", at positions 355 to 776 of the family's 1533-position model. The record is from RNAcentral. Lineage: Bacteria; Pseudomonadati; Gemmatimonadota.